GACGAACGCUGGCGGCGUGCUUAACACAUGCAAGUCGAACGGAAAGGCCCUGCUUUUGUGGGGUGCUCGAGUGGCGAACGGGUGAGUAACACGUGAGUAACCUGCCCUUGACUUUGGGAUAACUUCAGGAAACUGGGGCUAAUACCGGAUAGGAGCUCCUGCUGCAUGGUGGGGGUUGGAAAGUUUCGGCGGUUGGGGAUGGACUCGCGGCUUAUCAGCUUGUUGGUGGGGUAGUGUCUUACCAAGGCUUUGACGGGUAGCCGGCCUGAGAGGGUGACCGGCCACAUUGGGACUGAGAUACGGCCCAGACUCCUACGGGAGGCAGCAGUGGGGAAUAUUGCACAAUGGGCGGAAGCCUGAUGCAGCAACGCCGCGUGCGGGAUGACGGCCUUAGGGUUGUAAACCGCUUUCGCCUGUGACGAAGCGUGAGUGACGGUAAUGGGUAAAGAAGCACCGGCUAACUACGUG
RNAcentral lists this ribosomal RNA (468 nucleotides) under uncultured bacterium. Its description in RNAcentral is "partial 16S ribosomal RNA". It matches the Rfam family "Bacterial small subunit ribosomal RNA", at positions 28 to 507 of the family's 1533-position model. The record is from RNAcentral.